UGGCUCAGUGGUAGAGUGCUUGCCUUACAUGCACGAGGCCCUGGGUUUGAUUCCCCAG
Molecule: transfer RNA, 58 nt
Filed under: Dipodomys ordii (Ord's kangaroo rat)
Lineage: Eukaryota; Metazoa; Chordata; Mammalia; Rodentia; Heteromyidae
Rfam family: tRNA
About the family: Transfer RNA (tRNA) molecules are approximately 80 nucleotides in length. Their secondary structure includes four short double-helical elements and three loops (D, anti-codon, and T loops). Further hydrogen bonds mediate the characteristic L-shaped molecular structure. tRNAs have two regions of fundamental functional importance: the anti-codon, which is responsible for specific mRNA codon recognition, and the 3' end, to which the tRNAs corresponding amino acid is attached (by aminoacyl-tRNA synthetases). tRNAs cope with the degeneracy of the genetic code in two manners: having more than one tRNA (with a specific anti-codon) for a particular amino acid; and 'wobble' base-pairing, i.e. permitting non-standard base-pairing at the 3rd anti-codon position.
Source: Rfam by way of RNAcentral